RNAcentral lists this ribosomal RNA (253 nucleotides) under uncultured bacterium. Its description in RNAcentral is "partial 16S ribosomal RNA". It matches the Rfam family "Bacterial small subunit ribosomal RNA", at positions 524 to 776 of the family's 1533-position model. The record is from RNAcentral.
UACGGAGGGUGCGAGCGUUGUCCGGAAUCAUUGGGCGUAAAGGGCGCGUAGGCGGCCACGCGUGUCUUCCGUGAAAUCCCUCGGCUCAACCGAGGACGUGCGGAAGAAACUGCGAGGCUCGAGUCCAGAAGAGGGGGACGGAAUUCCCAGUGUAGCGGUGAAAUGCGUAGAUAUUGGGAGGAACACCGGUGGCGAAGGCGGCCCCCUGGGCUGGUACUGACGCUGAUGCGCGAAAGCGUGGGUAGCAAACGGG